GGGGCUGUACCGGAUUCGAUUGCCGGUGAGCGAAAGGAUAAGCAUACCGCAGACGGAGUGCCUGCGCAAAAACAUUCCACCUAAAUUUAAAUGCAAAUAAUAAUGCAUACGCUCUUGCAGCGUAACUUCGUUUUUUAAAACGAGCGUCGCGCCUAUUUUAUCCGUCGGAUAGGGUCGCGGCGUCAAUUAGACGGAAAAAUCUUCUUAAAAUCGGGAAGUGUUUUUUGGAGAUUAUUUAGCUUCCUGCGCCGUGUAAAGCGUGUUUACCCGCGGUAUACGGUUAAGAAAGUAGAUAAACUAAGUAUGUAGAAAGUUUUUUGGCAGCCGCGUAAGACGUCGGUUCAACUCCGACCAGCUCCACCA
This 363-nucleotide transfer-messenger RNA is filed under the name Christensenellaceae. Its description in RNAcentral is "Scatosoma sp017626305 Standard tmRNA". It matches the Rfam family "transfer-messenger RNA". From Rfam's summary of the family: Bacterial tmRNA, also known as 10Sa RNA or SsrA, is named for its dual tRNA and mRNA-like properties. Its role is to liberate the mRNA from a stalled ribosome. RNAcentral also lists the same sequence under 1 other name. The record is from RNAcentral. Lineage: Bacteria; Bacillati; Bacillota; Clostridia; Christensenellales.